AGUGGCGGACGGGUGAGUAACGCGUGGGUAACCUGCCUUAUACAGGGGGAUAACAGUUGGAAACGACUGCUAAUACCGCAUAAGCGCACAGUGCCGCAUGGCACAGUGUGAAAAACUCCGGUGGUAUAAGAUGGACCCGCGUCUGAUUAGCUAGUUGGUGAGGUAACGGCUCACCAAGGCGACGAUCAGUAGCCGGCUUGAGAGAGUGAUCGGCCACAUUGGGACUGAGACACGGCCCAAACUCCUACGGGAGGCAGCAGUGGGGAAUAUUGCACAAUGGGGGAAACCCUGAUGCAGCAACGCCGCGUGAGUGAAGAAGUAUUUCGGUAUGUAAAGCUCUAUCGGCAGGGAAGAUAAUGACGGUACCUGACUAAGAAGCCCCGGCUAACUACGUGCCAGCAGCCGCGGUAAUACGUAGGGGGCAAGCGUUAUCCGGAUUUACUGGGUGUAAAGGGAGCGUAGGCGGCUUGGCAAGUCUGAUGUGAAAGCCCAGGGCUCAACCCUGGGACUGCAUUGGAAACUGUCAGGCUAGAGUGCAGGAGAGGUAAGUGGAAUUCCUAGUGUAGCGGUGAAAUGCGUAGAUAUUAGGAGGAACACCAGUGGCGAAGGCGGCUUACUGGACUGUAACUGACGCUGAGGCUCGAAAGCGUGGGGAGCAAACAGGAUUAGAUACCCUGGUAGUCCACGCUGUAAACGAUGAAUACUAGGUGU
Molecule: ribosomal RNA, 711 nt
Filed under: uncultured bacterium
Lineage: Bacteria
Description: bacterial SSU rRNA
Rfam family: Bacterial small subunit ribosomal RNA
Source: RNAcentral